Molecule: ribosomal RNA, 750 nt
Filed under: uncultured bacterium
Lineage: Bacteria
Description: bacterial SSU rRNA
Rfam family: Bacterial small subunit ribosomal RNA
Source: RNAcentral
UCUGACUNGAGUGCAGAAGGGGAGAGUGGAAUUCCAUGUGUAGCGGUGAAAUGCGUAGAUAUAUGGAGGAACACCAGUGGCGAAAGCGGCUCUCUGGUCUGUCACUGACGCUGAGGCUCGAAAGCGUGGGUAGCGAACAGGAUUAGAUACCCUGGUAGUCCGCGCCGUAAACGAUGAGUGCUAGGUGUUAGGCCCUUUCCGGGGCUUAGUGCCGGAGCUAACGCAAUAAGCACUCCGCCUGGGGAGUACGACCGCAAGGUUGAAACUCAAAGGAAUUGACGGGGGCCCGCACAAGCGGUGGAGCAUGUGGUUUAAUUCGAAGCAACGCGAAGAACCUUACCAGGUCUUGACAUCCCGAUGCUAUUCUUAGAGAUGGGAAGUUACUUCGGUACAUCGGAGACAGGUGGUGCAUGGUUGUCGUCAGCUCGUGUCGUGAGAUGUUGGGUUAAGUCCCGCAACGAGCGCAACCCUUAUUGUUAGUUGCCAUCAUUAAGUUGGGCACUCUAGCGAGACUGCCGGUAAUAAACCGGAGGAAGGUGGGGAUGACGUCAAAUCAUCAUGCCCCUUAUGACCUGGGCUACACACGUGCUACAAUGGUCGGUACAACGAGUUGCGAGCCGGUGACGGCAAGCUAAUCUCUGAAAGCCGAUCUCAGUUCGGAUUGGAGGCUGCAACUCGCCUCCAUGAAGUCGGAAUCGCUAGUAAUCGCGGAUCAGCACGCCGCGGUGAAUACGUUCCCGGGCCUUGUNC